GAUGAACGCUGGCGGCGUGCCUAAUACAUGCAAGUCGAGCGAACGGACGAGAAGCUUGCUUCUCUGAUGUUAGCGGCGGACGGGUGAGUAACACGUGGAUAACCUACCUAUAAGACUGGGAUAACUUCGGGAAACCGGAGCUAAUACCGGAUAAUAUUUUGAACCGCAUGGUUCAAAAGUGAAAGACGGUCUUGCUGUCACUUAUAGAUGGAUCCGCGCUGCAUUAGCUAGUUGGUAAGGUAACGGCUUACCAAGGCAACGAUGCAUAGCCGACCUGAGAGGAUGAUCGGCCACACUGGAACUGAGACACGGUCCAGACUCCUACGGGAGGCAGCAGUAGGGAAUCUUCCGCAAUGGGCGAAAGCCUGACGGAGCAACGCCGCGUGAGUGAUGAAGGUCUUCGGAUCGUAAAACUCUGUUAUUAGGGAAGAACAGAUGUGUAAGUAACUGUGCACAUCUUGACGGUACCUAAUCAGAAAGCCACGGCUAACUACGUG
This 497-nucleotide ribosomal RNA is filed under the name uncultured bacterium. RNAcentral describes it as "partial 16S ribosomal RNA". It matches the Rfam family "Bacterial small subunit ribosomal RNA", at positions 28 to 507 of the family's 1533-position model. The record is from RNAcentral.